GACGAACGCUGGCGGCGUGCCUAACACAUGCAAGUCGAACGGGGGUAGCAAUACCUCAGUGGCGAACGGGUGCGUAACACGUGAAGAAUUUGUCCGACGGCGGGGGAUAGCCGGCCCAACGGCCGGGUAAUACCGCGUACGACCUUUGGGGGGCAUCCCCUGGAGGUGAAAGCCGCAAGGCGCCGAUGGAGAACUUCGCGGCCUAUCAGCUAGUUGGUGAGGUAACGGCUCACCAAGGCUUAGACGGGUAGCNGGUCUGAGAGGACGACCAGCCACACUGGAACUGAGAUACGGUCCAGACACCGUACGGGUGGCAGCAGUCGAGGUAUUUUUCUCAAGUGGGGGAAACCCUGAAGGAGCGACGCCGCGU
RNAcentral lists this ribosomal RNA (370 nucleotides) under uncultured bacterium. RNAcentral describes it as "bacterial SSU rRNA". It matches the Rfam family "Bacterial small subunit ribosomal RNA", at positions 28 to 402 of the family's 1533-position model. The record is from RNAcentral.